UGAAUGUCCCCACAGAAAACCCUGCAAUAAAGAAUGGGAAACGUUCUGGCAUCCAUAACUGUGAUGGAAAGGAUCCUCCAUUUUGUUAUUCUACUUACCCACAAUCCUGCAUCUCGAAUGACACCAGACCUCUGUGUCCAUUUGUUUGUAGUAUGUGUAAAUAUACCGGUACUCCAGUUACUUGGACAACUCCUUUUACAACUCCAUCCUCAACACGGACAUCACUUUUAGCUUCUGAAA
This is a long non-coding RNA of Saccostrea cuccullata (small rock oyster), 240 nucleotides long. RefSeq lists it as uncharacterized. Lineage: Eukaryota; Metazoa; Mollusca; Bivalvia; Ostreida; Ostreidae. The record is from RefSeq and is a predicted model, not a curated record. The transcript is spliced from 3 exons.